GGGACUGCAAAUGAGCGGGAAGUGAAUUUGGAAGAAGGCGAGAAAAGCUGUGUGAAUAGAAGAUAGAGCCCGUACCGCAAACCGACACAGGUAGAUAAGAAGAAGAUUCUAAGGCCAACGGGAGAAGGGUUGUUAAGGAACUCGGCAAGUUGACCCCGUAACUUAGGGAGAAGGGGUGCUCUUUAAGGAGAGCCGCAGAGAAUAGGCCCAAGCGACUGUUUAGCAAAAACACAGCUCUAUGCUAAAUCGAAAGAUGACGUAUAUGGGGUGACACCUGCCCGGUGCCGGAAGGUUAAGAGGAGGAGUGAGAGCUCUGAAUUGAAGCCCCGGUAAACGGCGGCCGUAACAAUAACGGUCCUAAGGUAGCGAAAUUCCUUGUCAGGUAAGUUCUGACCCGCACGAAUGGUGUAACGAUUUGGGCACUGUCUCAACAACCUGCCCGGCGAAAUUGUAGUACCGGUGAAGAUGCCGGUUACCCGCGACUAGACGGAAAGACCCCAUGGAGCUUUACUGCAGCUUAAUAUUGAAUUUCGGUAUUUCAUGUACAGGAUAGGUGGGAGACAGGGAACCAUAGGCGUCAGCUUAUGGGGAGUCGACCUUGGGAUACCACUCUUGAGGUGCUGGAAUUCUAACCUGUGGCUCUGAAUCGAGUCAGGGGACAUUGUUAGGCGGGCAGUUUGACUGGGGCGGUCGCCUCCAAAAAGGUAACGGAGGCGCUCAAAGGUUCGCUCAGCAUGGAUGGAAACCAUGCUUUUGAGUGUAAACGCAAGCGAGCCUAACUGCGAGACUGACGGGUCGAGCAGUAACGAAAGUUGGAGUUAGUGAUCCGGCGGUAUGUGAGUGGAAAUGCCGUCGCUCAACGGAUAAAAGCUACCCUGGGGAUAACAGGCUGAUCUCCCCCAAGAGUCCACAUCGACGGGGAGGUUUGGCACCUCGAUGUCGGCUCAUCGCAUCCUGGGGCUGAAUUCGGUCCCAAGGGUUUGGCUGUUCGCCAAUUAAAGCGGUACGCGAGCUGGGUUCAGAACGUCGUGAGACAGUUCGGUCCCUAUCUGUCGUGGGCGUAGGAUAUUUGAAAGGAGCUGUCCCUAGUACGAGAGGACCGGGAUGGACGCACCGCUGGUGCACCAGUUGUCAUGCCAAUGGCACAGCUGGGCAGCUAUGUGCGGAACGGAUAAACGCUGAAGGCAUCUAAGCGUGAACCGACCUUAAGAUAAGAUAUCCCUUCGUAAGAGUAAGACCUCUCAUAGACUAUGAGUUUGAUAGGCCUAAGGUGUAAGCACAGUGAUGUGUUCAGCCUGCAGGUACAAAUCGGUCGAGGGCUUUUCAA
Molecule: ribosomal RNA, 1327 nt
Filed under: metagenome
Description: bacterial LSU rRNA
Rfam family: Bacterial large subunit ribosomal RNA
Source: RNAcentral